RNAcentral lists this long non-coding RNA (427 nucleotides) under Triticum aestivum (bread wheat). RNAcentral's name for it is "long non-coding RNA (TAES_LNC011018)". Lineage: Eukaryota; Viridiplantae; Streptophyta; Magnoliopsida; Poales; Poaceae. The record is from RNAcentral.
GAAGCUCUCUUUGCCCAAUCUUAGUCUGCCAACCCGUGCUUCAGGAUGUCCAAAUAAGAGGCAACUUCUUUUGGAAUUUUCUAGGUGCCCCGUAAUGUACACACACACACAAAAUGUAAGGGCCCCAGUUAGAAAACCAUGAAAAAACAAAAAGACCAACUGAGAAAAUAGUGAAAACUUACAUACCAUCAUCUGUACUUCGGCGUUAGUCCUAGUGAAGCGGUGUAUGAAGGAUGGCCAUGUGACCCAUGGCAGAGUGGCAAUAGGUUGCACAAUUUAGCUAUGGCAUAAUAACAAUUAGCUAAUUGAACUGUGUAUGAAAAAAUACAAGACAAAAUGGGGGAAAAGACACAACAAAUAUGUCCCAAAAAAGGACCAGCUACUCUGCGAACCAGUUUCGAAAACAAUUGACAACUUUGAAACUUUC